UGAUAGAAUACAAAGAUUGCGCCGAUAGGGGUGCAAAAAUUUUUCGUUCUGCGCAUCUACGUCAUAAUAUAAAAGUUGUUGUUGGCGAUCUGUCAAAUCGCAUACAAUUUCGACGAAAAAAAGUAAAUAUAGCAUAAAAUUUAGUUGAAAGUCUAAAAUAAAACAAUCUGGUGGCAAUUUAUUGAAUCGAGAAGACGGUAGUGGGUAGGGCGUUCAAAUAAAAAUUGCAUUCUGUGGCCGCCGUUGCGCUGGCAAACGGAACGAGUAAGAUUUCCAAAUGAAAUUGAAGCCACAGCAAAUAGUGCAAAACUCCAAGGCUUGGAAACAAAUAUAGAAGCUAUACGAUGCCAGAAAGACUACAGAGAAUCGAAGAGCGCUAACCAGGAAACAGCGUAAAAGGGCCAAUUCGUUGAGCAAGGGCGUGCUCAUAGCAUGGAAAUACAAUGCCAACAUAAAUUAAACUGCCAAGGCAUAAGCAAGAAUUUUUACCUGAAACUGUGACGCCUGCCCACAGCAUCAAAUAAGGAUAUCGUUCCAAUGAAACCCAAUAUUAACGACGUAUUUUGA
Long non-coding RNA from Rhagoletis pomonella (apple maggot), 567 nucleotides. RefSeq lists it as uncharacterized. The record is from RefSeq and is a predicted model, not a curated record. The transcript is spliced from 3 exons. NCBI's taxonomy places the organism in Eukaryota, Metazoa, Arthropoda, Insecta, Diptera, Tephritidae.